UAUUUAGUAUAAGUAUGCCCCAUACAAUAUUUGGGAGAUAUUUAUAUUAAAA
RNAcentral lists this microRNA precursor (52 nucleotides) under Callithrix jacchus (white-tufted-ear marmoset). Its description in RNAcentral is "mir-1302 microRNA precursor family". It matches the Rfam family "mir-1302 microRNA precursor family". Lineage: Eukaryota; Metazoa; Chordata; Mammalia; Primates; Cebidae. The record is from Rfam by way of RNAcentral.